UACGUAGGGUGCGAGCGUUAUCCGGAUUUAUUGGGUUUAAAGGGUGCGCAGGCGGGAGAUUAAGUCGGCGGUGAAAUUUUGCAGCUCAACUGUAAAAGUGCCUUCGAAACUGGUUUCCUUGAGUGUGGAUGAAGUAGGCGGAAUUUGUGGUGUAGCGGUGAAAUGCAUAGAUAUCACGAGGAACUCCGAUUGCGCAGGCAGCUUACUAGGCCAUAACUGACGCUCAGGAACGAAGGCGUGGGGAUCAAACAGGAUUAGAUACCCCUGUAGU
RNAcentral lists this ribosomal RNA (271 nucleotides) under uncultured prokaryote. RNAcentral describes it as "partial 16S ribosomal RNA". It matches the Rfam family "Bacterial small subunit ribosomal RNA", at positions 524 to 794 of the family's 1533-position model. The record is from RNAcentral.